Molecule: transfer RNA, 73 nt
Filed under: Archangium gephyra
Lineage: Bacteria; Pseudomonadati; Myxococcota; Myxococcia; Myxococcales; Archangiaceae
Also listed under: 1 other name
Description: tRNA-Glu
Rfam family: tRNA
About the family: Transfer RNA (tRNA) molecules are approximately 80 nucleotides in length. Their secondary structure includes four short double-helical elements and three loops (D, anti-codon, and T loops).
Source: RNAcentral
GGCCCUGUCGUCUAGUGGCCUAGGACGGAGCCCUCUCACGGCUUAAACCGGGGUUCGAAUCCCCGCAGGGUCA